GGGGUUGUAGCUCAGUUGGGAGAGCAUCCGCCUUGCAAGCGGGGGGUCGGCGGUUCAAAUCCGCCCUGCUCCACCA
Molecule: transfer RNA, 76 nt
Filed under: Bacteroidetes bacterium ADurb.BinA104
Lineage: Bacteria; Pseudomonadati; Bacteroidota
Description: tRNA-Ala
Rfam family: tRNA
About the family: Transfer RNA (tRNA) molecules are approximately 80 nucleotides in length. Their secondary structure includes four short double-helical elements and three loops (D, anti-codon, and T loops).
Source: RNAcentral